Long non-coding RNA from Ochotona curzoniae (black-lipped pika), 101 nucleotides. RefSeq lists it as uncharacterized. Lineage: Eukaryota; Metazoa; Chordata; Mammalia; Lagomorpha; Ochotonidae. The transcript is spliced from 4 exons. The record is from RefSeq and is a predicted model, not a curated record.
AGAACCGGCACCCAUAUGGGAUCCUGGGCGUGCAAGGUGAGGACCUUAACCACCUUGCCACCCUGCCGGGCCCACUUCUUCCUGGUUGAACUCCCUGUAAG